Molecule: ribosomal RNA, 492 nt
Filed under: uncultured bacterium
Lineage: Bacteria
Description: partial 16S ribosomal RNA
Rfam family: Bacterial small subunit ribosomal RNA
Source: RNAcentral
AGUGAACGCUGGCGGUAGGCCUAACACAUGCAAGUCGAACGGCAGCACAGUAAGAGCUUGCUCUUACGGGUGGCGAGUGGCGGACGGGUGAGGAAUACAUCGGAAUCUACUUUUUCGUGGGGGCUAACGUAGGGAAACUUACGCUAAUACCGCAUACGACCUACGGGUGAAAGCAGGGGUUCUUCGGACCUUGCGCGAUUGAAUGAGCCGAUGUCGGAUUAGCUAGUUGGCGGGGUAAAGGCCCACCAAGGCGACGAUCCGUAGCUGGUCUGAGAGGAUGUACAGACACACUGGAACUGAGACACGGUCCAGACUCCUACGGGAGGCAGCGGUGGGGAAUAUUGGACAAUGGGCGAAAGCCUGAUACAGCCAUACCGCGUGGGUGAAGAAGGCCUUCGGGUUGUAAAGCCCUUUUGUUGGGAAAGAAAAGCAGCAGGUUAAUACCCCGCUGUUCUGACGGUACCCAAAGAAUAAGCACCGGCUAACUUCGUG